RNAcentral lists this ribosomal RNA (385 nucleotides) under uncultured bacterium. Its description in RNAcentral is "bacterial SSU rRNA". It matches the Rfam family "Bacterial small subunit ribosomal RNA", at positions 355 to 755 of the family's 1533-position model. The record is from RNAcentral.
UGGGGAAUAUUGCACAAUGGGGGAAACCCUGAUGCAGCGACGCCGCGUGAGUGAAGAAGGUUUUCGGAUCGUAAAGCUCUGUCCUUGGGGAAGAAAAAAAUGACGGUACCCAAGGAGGAAGCCCCGGCUAACUACGUGCCAGCAGCCGCGGUAAUACGUAGGGGGCUAGCGUUGUCCGGAUUUACUGGGCGUAAAGGGUGAGUAGGCGGUAAUGUAUGUCAGGUGUAAAAGGCACAGGCUUAACUUGUGUAAGCACUUGAAACUGGAUUACUUGAGUGCAGGAGAGGUAAGUGGAAUUCCUAGUGUAGCGGUGAAAUGCGUAGAUAUUAGGAGGAACACCAGUGGCGAAGGCGACUUACUGGACUGUGACUGACGCUGAGUCACG